CCUACGGGAGGCUGCAGUGAGGAAUAUUGGUCAAUGGACGAGAGUCUGAACCAGCCAAGUAGCGUGAAGGAUGACUGCCCUAUGGGUUGUAAACUUCUUUUAUAUGGGAAUAAAAUGUUCCACGUGUGGGAUUUUGUAUGUACCAUAUGAAUAAGGAUCGGCUAACUCCGUGCCAGCAGCCGCGGUAAUACGGAGGAUCCGAGCGUUAUCCGGAUUUAUUGGGUUUAAAGGGAGCGUAGGUGGAUUGUUAAGUCAGUUGUGAAAGUUUGCGGCUCAACCGUAAAAUUGCAGUUGAAACUGGCAGUCUUGAGUACAGUAGUGGUGGGCGGAAUUCGUGGUGUAGCGGUGAAAUGCUUAGAUAUCACGAAGAACUCCGAUUGCGAAGGCAGUUCACUGGACUGCAACUGACACUGAGGCUCGAAAGUGUGGGUAUCAAACAGGAUUAGAUACCCGUGUAGUC
This 460-nucleotide ribosomal RNA is filed under the name uncultured bacterium. RNAcentral's name for it is "partial 16S ribosomal RNA". It matches the Rfam family "Bacterial small subunit ribosomal RNA", at positions 338 to 795 of the family's 1533-position model. The record is from RNAcentral.